UAGUCCACGCCGUAAACGAUGUAUGCUAGUUGUUGGUAUCCAUAGGAUAUCAGUGACGCAGCUAACGCGAUAAGCAUACCGCCUGGGGAGUACGGUCGCAAGAUUAAAACUCAAAGGAAUUGACGGGGGCUCACACAAGCGGUGGAGGAUGUGGUUUAAUUCGAAGCAACGCGAAGAACCUUACCAGGCCUUGACAUGCAGGGAUAACCAGAGCGAAAACUUUGGGAUUGCCUUUACGGGUGUAACCUGCACAGGUGCUGCAUGGCUGUCGUCAGCUCGUGCCGUGAGGUGUUAGGUUAAGUCCUUUAACGAGCGAAACCCCUAUCAUUGGUUGCCAGCGGUUCGGCCGGGGACUCUAAUGAGACUGCCGCGUUGAAGCAGGAGGAAGGUGGGGACGACGUCAAGUCAUCAUGGCCCUUAUGGUCUGGGCUACACACGUCCUACAAUGGUCGGUACAACGGGUCGCUAAGCCGCGAGGUGGAGCUAAUCCCAUAAAGCCGGCUCAGUUCGGAU
Molecule: ribosomal RNA, 513 nt
Filed under: uncultured bacterium
Lineage: Bacteria
Description: bacterial SSU rRNA
Rfam family: Bacterial small subunit ribosomal RNA
Source: RNAcentral